UGUGAGCUCGAUGAGUAGGGCGGGACACGUGGUAUCCUGUCUGAAUAUGGGGGGACCAUCCUCCAAGGCUAAAUACUCCUGACUGACCGAUAGUGAACCAGUACCGUGAGGGAAAGGCGAAAAGAACCCCGGCGAGGGGAGUGAAAAAGAACCUGAAACCGUGUACGUACAAGCAGUGGGAGCACGCUUAGGCGUGUGACUGCGUACCUUUUGUAUAAUGGGUCAGCGACUUAUAUUCUGUAGCAAGGUUAACCGAAUAGGGGAGCCGAAGGGAAACCGAGUCUUAACUGGGCGUUAAGUUGCAGGGUAUAGACCCGAAACCCGGUGAUCUAGCCAUGGGCAGGUUGAAGGUUGGGUAACACUAACUGGAGGACCGAACCGACUAAUGUUGAAAAAUUAGCGGAUGACUUGUGGCUGGGGGUGAAAGGCCAAUCAAACCGGGAGAUAGCUGGUUCUCCCCGAAAGCUAUUUAGGUAGCGCCUCGUGAAUUCAUCUCCGGGGGUAGAGCACUGUUUCGGCAAGGGGGUCAUCCCGACUUACCAACCCGAUGCAAACUGCGAAUACCGGAGAAUGUUAUCACGGGAGACACACGGCGGGUGCUAACGUCCGUCGUGAAGAGGGAAACAACCCAGACCGCCAGCUAAGGUCCCAAAGUCAUGGUUAAGUGGGAAACGAUGUGGGAAGGCCCAGACAGCCAGGAUGUUGGCUUAGAAGCAGCCAUCAUUUAAAGAAAGCGUAAUAGCUCACUGGUCGAGUCGGCCUGCGCGGAAGAUGUAACGGGGCUAAACCAUGCACCGAAGCUGCGGCAGCGACGCUUAUGCGUUGUUGGGUAGGGGAGCGUUCUGUAAGCCUGUGAAGGUGUGCUGUGAGGCAUGCUGGAGGUAUCAGAAGUGCGAAUGCUGACAUAAGUAACGAUAAAGCGGGUGAAAAGCCCGCUCGCCGGAAGACCAAGGGUUCCUGUCCAACGUUAAUCGGGGCAGGGUGAGUCGACCCCUAAGGCGAGGCCGAAAGGCGUAGUCGAUGGGAAACAGGUUAAUAUUCCUGUACUUGGUGUUACUGCGAAGGGGGGACGGAGAAGGCUAUGUUGGCCGGGCGACGGUUGUCCCGGUUUAAGCGUGUAGGCUGGUUUUCCAGGCAAAUCCGGAAAAUCAAGGCUGAGGCGUGAUGACGAGGCACUACGGUGCUGAAGCAACAAAUGCCCUGCUUCCAGGAAAAGCCUCUAAGCAUCAGGUAACAUCAAAUCGUACCCCAAACCGACACAGGUGGUCAGGUAGAGAAUACCAAGGCGCUUGAGAGAACUCGGGUGAAGGAACUAGGCAAAAUGGUGCCGUAACUUCGGGAGAAGGCACGCUGAUAUGUAGGUGAAGUCCCUUGCGGAUGGAGCUGAAAUCAGUCGAAGAUACCAGCUGGCUGCAACUGUUUAUUAAAAACACAGCACUGUGCAAACACGAAAGUGGACGUAUACGGUGUGACGCCUGCCCGGUGCCGGAAGGUUAAUUGAUGGGGUCAGCGCAAGCGAAGCUCUUGAUCGAAGCCCCGGUAAACGGCGGCCGUAACUAUAACGGUCCUAAGGUAGCGAAAUUCCUUGUCGGGUAAGUUCCGACCUGCACGAAUGGCGUAAUGAUGGCCAGGCUGUCUCCACCCGAGACUCAGUGAAAUUGAACUCGCUGUGAAGAUGCAGUGUACCCGCGGCAAGACGGAAAGACCCCGUGAACCUUUACUAUAGCUUGACACUGAACAUUGAGCCUUGAUGUGUAGGAUAGGUGGGAGGCUUGGAAGUGUGGACGCCAGUCUGCAUGGAGCCGACCUUGAAAUACCACCCUUUAAUGUUUGAUGUUCUAACGUUGACCCGUAAUCCGGGUUGCGGACAGUGUCUGGUGGGUAGUUUGACUGGGGCGGUCUCCUCCUAAAGAGUAACGGAGGAGCACGAAGGUUGGCUAAUCCUGGUCGGACAUCAGGAGGUUAGUGCAAUGGCAUAAGCCAGCUUGACUGCGAGCGUGACGGCGCGAGCAGGUGCGAAAGCAGGUCAUAGUGAUCCGGUGGUUCUGAAUGGAAGGGCCAUCGCUCAACGGAUAAAAGGUACUCCGGGGAUAACAGGCUGAUACCGCCCAAGAGUUCAUAUCGACGGCGGUGUUUGGCACCUCGAUGUCGGCUCAUCACAUCCUGGGGCUGAAGUAGGUCCCAAGGGUAUGGCUGUUCGCCAUUUAAAGUGGUACGCGAGCUGGGUUUAGAACGUCGUGAGACAGUUCGGUCCCUAUCUGCCGUGGGCGCUGGAGAACUGAGGGGGGCUGCUCCUAGUACGAGAGGACCGGAGUGGACGCAUCACUGGUGUUCGGGUUGUCAUGCCAAUGGCACUGCCCGGUAGCUAAAUGCGGAAGAGAUAAGUGCUGAAAGCAUCUAAGCACGAAACUUGCCCCGAGAUGAGUUCUCCCUGACUCCUUGA
RNAcentral lists this ribosomal RNA (2443 nucleotides) under Escherichia coli. RNAcentral describes it as "bacterial LSU rRNA". It matches the Rfam family "Bacterial large subunit ribosomal RNA", at positions 398 to 2826 of the family's 2925-position model. The record is from RNAcentral. Lineage: Bacteria; Pseudomonadati; Pseudomonadota; Gammaproteobacteria; Enterobacterales; Enterobacteriaceae.